GACGAACGCUGGCGGCGUGCCUAAUACAUGCAAGUAGAACGCACAGGAUGCACCGUAGUUUACUACACCGUAUUCUGUGAGUUGCGAACGGGUGAGUAACGCGUAGGUAACCUGCCUGGUAGCGGGGGAUAACUAUUGGAAACGAUAGCUAAUACCGUAUAAGAACAUUUACUGCAUGGUAGAUGUUUAAAAGGUGCAAGAGCAUCACUACCAGAUGGACCUGCGUUGUAUUAGCUAGUUGGUGAGGUAACGGCUCACCAAGGCAACGAUACAUAGCCGACCUGAGAGGGUGAUCGGCCACACUGGGACUGAGACACGGCCCAGACUCCUACGGGGGGCAGCAGUAGGGAAUCUUCGGCAAUGGGGGGAACCCUGACCGAGCAACGCCGCGUGAGUGAAGAAGGUUUUCGGAUCGUAAAGCUCUGUUGUUAAGGAAGAACGUGUGUGAGAGUGGAAAGUUCACACAGUGACGGUACUUAACCAGAAAGGGACGGCUAACUACGUGCCAGCAGCCGCGGUAAUACGUAGGUCCCGAGCGUUGUCCGGAUUUAUUGGGCGUAAAGCGAGCGCAGGCGGUUAGAUAAGUCUGAAGUGAAAGGCAGUGGCUCAACCAUUGUAGGCUUUGGAAACUGUUUAACUUGAGUGCAGAAGGGGAGAGUGGAAUUCCAUGUGUAGCGGUGAAAUGCGUAGAUAUAUGGAGGAACACCGGUGGCGAAAGCGGCUCUCUGGUCUGUAACUGACGCUGAGGCUNGAAAGCGUGGGGAGCGAACAGG
This 773-nucleotide ribosomal RNA is filed under the name uncultured Streptococcus sp. Its description in RNAcentral is "bacterial SSU rRNA". It matches the Rfam family "Bacterial small subunit ribosomal RNA", at positions 28 to 776 of the family's 1533-position model. The record is from RNAcentral. Lineage: Bacteria; Bacillati; Bacillota; Bacilli; Lactobacillales; Streptococcaceae.